UCAAAAGUCUUGCUAAAAAACCCUCUGAUA
This 30-nucleotide non-coding RNA is filed under the name Mus musculus (house mouse). Lineage: Eukaryota; Metazoa; Chordata; Mammalia; Rodentia; Muridae. The record is from RNAcentral.